This 247-nucleotide long non-coding RNA is filed under the name Lathyrus oleraceus (garden pea). RNAcentral's name for it is "Pisum sativum (pea) long non-coding RNA (PSAT_LNC006742)". The record is from RNAcentral. Lineage: Eukaryota; Viridiplantae; Streptophyta; Magnoliopsida; Fabales; Fabaceae.
UUUAUCAUAGGUCAAACAAGGUCAAAGGACCUUGGAGAAAAAAUUUCAUCAUUUUUGGAAACUUAAAACUAUAUUUAAACAAUUAAAAACAUUCAUAAAAUCAAUUAAAUCAUGAAAAAUAUUAAUAAUGAUCCAAAAAAUAAUUUUAAUUCAUAAAAUGAAAGAGGAAAUUAUUUAAAUUUUUUUGGUGAAACUCUCAUAUUUUUUGUAUCAAUAUUAAAAUUAAUAUGAAUUAAUGAAAAUAAAC